AGUUCAACAAGUAUUUGUUAUUAGAGAACAAGUAACACAGUUAGUGGUGUAGGGAAGCAAACGAAUGUAACACCAAGACCAAUUGAAAGUCCUCAACAAGUAGAGAUGCACACAUGUUUCAAUCAUUUGAGAUACCCUUUUGUAGAAGUAUUUGGAAGAUAACUAUUAAUAAUUUCAUUUGUAAAGAUACGAUUUGUAAAAAAGUAUAUACAAAGUGGUUUUGCUGGUAUUAAAUAAAUAAAUAAAAAUAC
This 251-nucleotide long non-coding RNA is filed under the name Diabrotica virgifera virgifera (western corn rootworm). RNAcentral describes it as "uncharacterized LOC126891766". Lineage: Eukaryota; Metazoa; Arthropoda; Insecta; Coleoptera; Chrysomelidae. The record is from RNAcentral.